AAACAAAGUCCUUGGCUAUGGUUGCAGAGGUUAGAACUAUUUUGUGGCUAAACAAAAACAAUGUCUCCCAACUUCCCACCAGCUGGGAUUCCAUGACUCAAGAGAUUUGACUUACACGAAUCAAAGACUUAACCAAACAAAGAGAUUUGUGGUCCACAAAACAAACAGGAGAGUUAGACUCACCCACCAUUGCUUUCUAUGACAAGCUGUUCUCUGACACCGGCCAAUCUAAAAUAGUUUGAAGUGACGCUCUGGCCAAUUCUUCAUCUUACGGAUGAGGUAAAUGAGACCCAGAGAGAUUGGAGAUUGAAGCCUUUGCCUCCUGCCUUUUACCCACUAAUUGCUGGACCAUUGCCCUGCUUCAAGUAUGUUCUCCUGACCUCUUUAAGGACACUGGGCCAGACUCUGCCUAGCUUUAUUCAGUCAUGGCAAAGUGACCAGCCUUGCCCAGCACACUCCCUGUUCUGACUUCUGCCACACCACAGCAAUGGAGCCCCACGGGCAGAAGCUCUAGAAACUGAUCCAACUAAAAUCUGCUCACUCGUGUUUAUCUAAGGGACUCUGUUUGAUUGAUGAAAAAUUAAUCCAGCUGUAAAUCCCAUAGUCAAAUAAACCUGGCACAUAUAGACAGACUGCCUUUCAAUUCCUGUA
Mastomys coucha (southern multimammate mouse) is the source of this 651-nucleotide long non-coding RNA. RefSeq lists it as uncharacterized. The transcript has 4 exons. The record is from RefSeq and is a predicted model, not a curated record. NCBI's taxonomy places the organism in Eukaryota, Metazoa, Chordata, Mammalia, Rodentia, Muridae.